GACGAACGCUGGCGGCGUGCUUAACACAUGCAAGUCGAGCGGUAAGGCCCCUUCGGGGGUACACGAGCGGCGAACGGGUGAGUAACACGUGGGUGACCUGCCCUCAGCUCUGGGAUAAGCCUGGGAAACUGGGUCUAAUACCGGAUAUGACUCCAUGACGCAUGUCGUGGGGUGGAAAGCCUUGUGCGGCUGGGGAUGGGCCCGCGGCCUAUCAGCUUGUUGGUGGGGUGAUGGCCUACCAAGGCGACGACGGGUAGCCGGCCUGAGAGGGCGACCGGCCACACUGGGGACUGAGACACGGCCCAGACUCCUACGGGAGGCAGCAGUGGGGAAUCUUGCGCAAUGGGCGAAAGCCUGACGCAGCGACGCCGCGUG
This 375-nucleotide ribosomal RNA is filed under the name uncultured bacterium. Its description in RNAcentral is "bacterial SSU rRNA". It matches the Rfam family "Bacterial small subunit ribosomal RNA", at positions 28 to 403 of the family's 1533-position model. The record is from RNAcentral.